AGGAUGAACGCUGGCGGUCUGCUUAACACAUGCAAGUCGAACGGGCGUAGCAAUACGUUAGUGGCGGACGGGUGAGUAACGCGUGAGAAUCUACCUUCAGGACGGAGACAACAGUUGGAAACGACUGCUAACCCCCGAUGUACUGAAAAGGCAAAUAUUUAUAGCCUGAAGAAGAGCUCGCGUCCGAUUAGCUAGUUGGAGAGGUAAAAGCUCACCAAGGCGACGAUCGGUAGCUGGUCUGAGAGGACGAUCAGCCACACUGGGACUGAGACACGGCCCAGACUCCUACGGGAGGCAGCAGUGGGAAUUUUCCGCAAUGGGCGAAAGCCUGACGGAGCAAGACCGCGUGGGGGAAGAAGGCUCUUGGGUUGUAAACCCCUUUUCUCUGGGAGAAAGUUGUGAAAGCAGCCUGACGGUACCAGAGGAAUCAGCAUCGGCUAACUCCGCGCCAGCAGCCGC
RNAcentral lists this ribosomal RNA (459 nucleotides) under uncultured bacterium. RNAcentral's name for it is "SSU rRNA". It matches the Rfam family "Bacterial small subunit ribosomal RNA", at positions 26 to 518 of the family's 1533-position model. The record is from RNAcentral.